AAGUAAUUCUUAGAGCAGCUUUUAGAAAAUCCUCCAGUCUUGAUUUAAACAUUAUCAGUGAUGGAGAAUCCACCAGAAACCCUGGAAACAAUAUUUCAG
Long non-coding RNA from Gopherus evgoodei (Goodes thornscrub tortoise), 99 nucleotides. RefSeq lists it as uncharacterized. The transcript has 3 exons. NCBI's taxonomy places the organism in Eukaryota, Metazoa, Chordata, Testudines, Testudinidae. The record is from RefSeq and is a predicted model, not a curated record.